UACAGAGGGUGCGAGCGUUGUUCGGAAUUAUUGGGCGUAAAGCGCAUGUAGGCGGGAUGUUAAGUCGCGUGUGAAAGCCCCAGGCUCAACCUGGGAAGUGCGCGCGAAACUGGCAACCUUGAGUGCUGGAGAGGGUGGCGGAAUUCCCGGUGUAGAGGUGAAAUUCGUAGAUAUCGGGAGGAACACCAGAGGCGAAGGCGGCCACCUGGACAGACACUGACGCUGAGGCACGAAAGCGUGGGGAGCAAACAGG
RNAcentral lists this ribosomal RNA (253 nucleotides) under uncultured bacterium. RNAcentral's name for it is "partial 16S ribosomal RNA". It matches the Rfam family "Bacterial small subunit ribosomal RNA", at positions 524 to 776 of the family's 1533-position model. The record is from RNAcentral.